RNAcentral lists this long non-coding RNA (1196 nucleotides) under Homo sapiens (human). RNAcentral's name for it is "HSALNT0294947". Lineage: Eukaryota; Metazoa; Chordata; Mammalia; Primates; Hominidae. The record is from RNAcentral.
CACGUCGGCUCCCCUCCCCCAACACCGUUCGGAAUCCUUGGGUCAACCGCCUCCGUCUCCACAGCAACGGAGUUUCAGAGCGCGCGGCAGCUUGGGGGCGGGGUUCCCAGUCCCCCGGUCAAAUUUUAGGACUUUUCAGCAGGAAAGCUGCACAACUGGAGGAGGGCAGGACGAGGCUGGCCUCGCAGGUCGGGCUACGUUCUUCUACGGUCUGAGGCGUUGUCUAGAAACUCAAAAUCUCUGGAAUCCCAUCCAGGACUCCUCCAUCAAGAUUUCUUCCGAUCCUGAGUAACCAAGAUUGGAAUACUGACCCCUUCAGGAGGCAGCCCAUGCCGUUUUUUCCCAACCGCUCUAAUCUGCCCCAAAUGCUUCCUUAUAUGAAUCCAAAUUUGUCUCUCCUUGACCUCUACCCUCUGCACUGUUUCAGCCUCCGCCUCUGGGGCCUUACUAAACAAGUCCAAUCACCCUUCCACGUGACCCCUUAUCUAACUGUAGGUGGGAUUAAUGUACUUAUCUGCCCAAACAGCUCCAGUCCUUUAAACUGCCUUUUAUUGAUUGUGAGACAAAUUUGAGGACACCCUGGGGCAGAGCGCAACCAAAGGUGCCUUGCGGUCUCAUUAGUCAUAUGGAAUUCAGCACUGACCAGGGCUUAACUAGCCAUUAAGGCCCUGCACUUUGCCUAGAGGAGCCCACCCAGGAUACUACAUUACAUUCAGAUGUCAUGUCUCCUUAGGCUCCUGCAGACUGACAAUUUCUCAAACUUUGUUUUUGAUGACUUUGACAAUUUUGAGGUGGUAUGAUAAUUUGUGAAGUGUUUCUCAUGCUUAGCCUGGAGUUACAAGGUUGGAGAAAAAGACCAAAGAUGUGAAGUGCCAUUCUCAUCACAUCAUGUCAAGGGUACAUGCUGUUAACAUGAAUUAACAUCGAUGAUGUUAACCUUGAUGUCCUGGCUGAGAUGAACUCUCUUGGAUAGAAGGAUUCAAACAGAAAAAUGCAAAAAGAAGUCAGAUGGAAAACUCUGGAAAAUCCAAGAAGGGAGCUAGUUGAUGAUGAGCAAAGCCACAUGUGCUGUCUUGACAGCCAUAGAGAAGAAUGGAGGCCUCCAUACCUGAGUGGAAAGAGAAGAACAUGGGCAAUGAUUUUGUCUCUACAAAACAACAACAACAACAGACAAACAAAAUUAGCUGAGUGUGGUG